RNAcentral lists this transfer RNA (72 nucleotides) under Capra hircus (goat). It matches the Rfam family "tRNA". Rfam says of the family: Transfer RNA (tRNA) molecules are approximately 80 nucleotides in length. Their secondary structure includes four short double-helical elements and three loops (D, anti-codon, and T loops). RNAcentral also lists the same sequence under 2 other names. Lineage: Eukaryota; Metazoa; Chordata; Mammalia; Artiodactyla; Bovidae. The record is from Rfam by way of RNAcentral.
UCCCUGGUAGCUCAGACAGUAAAGCGUCUGCCUACAAUGUGGGAGACCCAGGUUCGAUCCCUGGGUUGGGAA